GAUGAACGCUGGCGGCGUGCCUAAUACAUGCAAGUCGAGCGAACAGACGAGGAGCUUGCUCCUCUGACGUUAGCGGCGGACGGGUGAGUAACACGUGGAUAACCUACCUAUAAGACUGGGAUAACUUCGGGAAACCGGAGCUAAUACCGGAUAAUAUAUUGAACCGCAUGGUUCAAUAGUGAAAGACGGUUUUGCUGUCACUUAUAGAUGGAUCCGCGCCGCAUUAGCUAGUUGGUAAGGUAACGGCUUACCAAGGCAACGAUGCGUAGCCGACCUGAGAGGGUGAUCGGCCAAACUGGAAAUGAGAAACGGUCCAGACUCCUACGGGAGGCAGCAGGAGGGAAUCUUCCGCAAUGGGGGAAAGCUUGACGGAGCAAAGCCGCGUGAGUGAUGAAGGUCUUCGGAUCGUAAAACUCUGUUAUUAGGGAAGAACAAAUGUGUAAGUAACUAUGCAAGUCUUGAAGGUAACUAAUCAGAAAGCCACGGCUAAAUACGUG
RNAcentral lists this ribosomal RNA (497 nucleotides) under uncultured bacterium. RNAcentral describes it as "partial 16S ribosomal RNA". It matches the Rfam family "Bacterial small subunit ribosomal RNA", at positions 28 to 507 of the family's 1533-position model. The record is from RNAcentral.